Macaca fascicularis (crab-eating macaque) is the source of this 120-nucleotide unclassified non-coding RNA. It matches the Rfam family "Metazoan signal recognition particle RNA". From Rfam's summary of the family: The signal recognition particle (SRP) is a universally conserved ribonucleoprotein. The record is from Ensembl. NCBI's taxonomy places the organism in Eukaryota, Metazoa, Chordata, Mammalia, Primates, Cercopithecidae.
GCCGGGCGCGGUGGCUCACGCCUGUAAUCCCAGCACUUUGGGAGGCUGAGGUGGGUGGAUCACCUGAGGUCAGGAGUAGUUUGAGACCAGCCUGACCAACAUGGUGAAACCCUGUCUCUA